UACGGGGGGAGCAAGCGUUGUUCGGAUUUACUGGGCGUAAAGGGCGCGUAGGCGGCGCAACAAGUCACUUGUGAAAUCUCCGGGCUUAACUCGGAAAGGUCAAGUGAUACUGUUGUGCUAGAGUGCGGAAGGGGCAACUGGAAUUCUCGGUGUAGCGGUGAAAUGCGUAGAUAUCGAGAGGAACACCUGCGGCGAAGGCGGGUUGCUGGGCUGACACUGACGCUGAUGCGCGAAAGCUAGGGGAGCGAACGGG
Molecule: ribosomal RNA, 253 nt
Filed under: uncultured bacterium
Lineage: Bacteria
Description: partial 16S ribosomal RNA
Rfam family: Bacterial small subunit ribosomal RNA
Source: RNAcentral